Molecule: long non-coding RNA, 875 nt
Filed under: Mustela putorius furo (domestic ferret)
Lineage: Eukaryota; Metazoa; Chordata; Mammalia; Carnivora; Mustelidae
Description: lncRNA (ENSMPUG00000029373.1)
Source: RNAcentral
GGGGAGCGGGGCUGCAGACACUCUGGCACUUGCUCUCCAGCUGGGCCCCUAGAGGCUGCAAGAGGAUCCACAGGGGGGCCCCCAAGCACCAGGUGACAGAUUACGAGGAGCACUUUGGUGGAAAACGGGGGGCCACAGCCUGGGGAAGCAGGCAGGGAGGGAAACAGCCACAGUAGACUUAGUGUUUAUGUCUGAGGGCCCGCCUAGCUGAACAUCUGUUUGAAAUAUUAAUAACUGUCAGAUGGGAAGGGCCUGGGGCUCAGUACAGUUUCACACCAUCUGUCGGUAGAGUAAACACACUUCAGAACAGUGGGCCUGGGAUUAGCAGGCGAUGGCUUGGAUAAGAACGGAGUAAGAGCGGAGCAAGAUAUGGCAGCGAGGACCCCGAGCCCUUCCGUGUGGGCAGAGAAGAGCAGCAGUGAGCUCAAAUCUAUCACAGGUACUGAGCACCUACUAGGCGUAUGAGCUGAGCUUACGUAGCAACACGUCUGCUGCCUUGAUCUGCCAGACAACCAGUCCUCUUUGCUCUGCUAACAGAAGCCCCUUCCACAUAGCCCCUUCCCCACUUCUAGCCCACAGAGUUUGCACGGAGUGGACCUAACCCCUGGCUCCACCGGCAAGAGUGUGACCCAUCUCUGGGAGAUGAGGAUCAAGAUGAUGGGCUCCAGCAUGGCUCAGCAAGGAGACUCAAUUGUGGGACUUGUGCUGGAACUAAUGAAAAAGAUGACUGUUUUCCCACUAGGGUUGAUACAUUGGUCCAAACCCAGAGUUCCUGUCUGAGUCAGUGCCUAUCCCAGGUGUGUGCUGCUGGGAGUCUCUCCAUCAGGGACUGGAAGCCAGGACGGCUGCGGAUUCUGCUGGGGCCUGGGCCGGUG